Molecule: long non-coding RNA, 770 nt
Organism: Fundulus heteroclitus (mummichog)
Lineage: Eukaryota; Metazoa; Chordata; Actinopteri; Cyprinodontiformes; Fundulidae
Exons: 2
Source: RefSeq, a predicted model, not a curated record
UCCAGUCGCAGUUUUGACUUAGUCCACACCCUUCAAACUUAAAGAGGAGUCAGCAGGAGGUGGAGCAAGCAGAGCAACUGCUCCGAGCGCAGUUUGAGCCUUGGACUUGAGCUCUGAGGCUUUAGUGAGCAACAUGUUUGCACGCCGUGGCCCGCGUUCGCUCUGCGCCGCGCGCACUUUCCCUAACUUGUGGAUCUCUUCAGUUUGAGCUUUUUUUUCUGUUGUAGCUAAAGCUGUCUGCUCUCAAAGACAUGUUGCUUCUAUAGGCCCGUUGCACAUGUCAAGCAAAGCCUCAUCAUGGCCGCUCUCCAAGAAGCAGCCAGAACGGAACGCAAUCAUCCAUUAAUCAGAGCAGAGGAAGCCUGUAAAUGUUUCCACACAUCCCCUCUAAACCUCUCACUGCAACGCUUGUGAUGGAGGAAAUCUGCUUCUGUUGGUUCGGUGUAUCUAAAAGAUCACAGGAGCAGAGUUUUUCCAGCUGUGAUCACCACACUGUACAUCUCAAGGGCUCCAGGAAAGCUCCAACGUCACCCAAGGGCUGCUGCUAGCAAGGUUUUGUUGAAGAACUUUCAGAUUCGCAAUGUGAGCCUUUAACUGGAAUCCAGUUUGAAGAUUAUGAUCGUAUAUGGACUAAACUGUUACAUUGUUUAUUGGAAUGUCAUGAUAAUUUCUUUUUUCAUGUUUUCAAAACCCCUGACACAUUUUCCUUCAACUUUACAGUGAUGUGCUACUUUGUGCUGAUAUUACAAAUAAAAUCUCAAUACAUUAAA